This 447-nucleotide ribosomal RNA is filed under the name uncultured bacterium. RNAcentral describes it as "bacterial SSU rRNA". It matches the Rfam family "Bacterial small subunit ribosomal RNA", at positions 355 to 825 of the family's 1533-position model. The record is from RNAcentral.
UCGGGAAUUUUGGGCAAUGGGCGAAAGCCUGACCCAGCAACGCCGCGUGAAGGAUGAAGUAUUUCGGUAUGUAAACUUCGAAAGAAUAGGAAGAAUAAAUGACGGUACUAUUUAUAAGGUCCGGCUAACUACGUGCCAGCAGCCGCGGUAAUACGUAGGGACCAAGCGUUGUUCGGAUUUACUGGGCGUAAAGGGCGCGUAGGCGGCAUGACAAGUCACUUGUGAAAUCUCCGGGCUUAACUCGGAACGGCCAAGUGAUACUGUCACGCUAGAGUAUUGGAGGGGCAAUCGGAAUUCUUGGUGUAGCGGUGAAAUGCGUAGAUAUCAAGAGGAACACCUGAGGUGAAGACGGGUUGCUGGCCAAAUACUGACGCUGAGGCGCGAAAGCCAGGGGAGCAAACGGGAUUAGAUACCCACGUAGUCCCUGAGCGGGCUGGCAAGGCGCAU